Molecule: long non-coding RNA, 496 nt
Filed under: Linum usitatissimum (flax)
Lineage: Eukaryota; Viridiplantae; Streptophyta; Magnoliopsida; Malpighiales; Linaceae
Description: long non-coding RNA (LUSI_LNC002267)
Source: RNAcentral
GGCCUAACGCCGAGAGGACACUUUCGUUAAAUCCGCUAACGAGAUGGACGACGCGAUUACUUUUGAUACGAAGAGAAUAGAUUUUAUGAUUUCGGACAAACCUAAGGGAUCGAUUGCAGCUGUUUGUUAACCAAGUCAGGAGCAUAUUAUGUUAAAAGGAAAGAGAUGAAACAAGUUACCUAAGAAAAGAAGGGUGGCCAACGGAAAUUGAAGGCGAAUAGCAGUAAACAAAGUUGAGCUGAUGAUGUCCUCUCACCUCAGUUGCUUGCCGUUAUUAACGACGUUUACUAGCCAGCCUACUUCAUUUGGAGAAACUUACUUCUACUUGAUUCAAACGAGGGAAAAAAGCCACUUCAAAUCCAAAAUGCUGACUUUGACUUCGUCUCUUCUUUCUUUCCUGUGAGCCGGUGUAUACUGUAUACUACUGCUGCACCGUACGUAUGGAAGCCAUCGAAUAUUAUCCGGCCAGUCGAUGCAGCCAACAGCCUAAAUCAUU